GAUGAACGCUGGCGGCGUGCUUAACACAUGCAAGUCGAACGAUAAGGCCUGCCUCUUUCUGUGGGUUCUUGAGUGACGAAUGAGUAACUCAUACGUAGCUUACCUUUCUUUCUGUUCUGGAUCAGCGUGAGUAACUCUAUUUACUACCGGAUAGGUCAGCCGCUUAGUGUGUGUUGUGGAGAUUUUUUUCGGUUCAAGAUGAUCUCGCGGCCUCUCAGCUUGUGGGUGGGGUAAUGUCGCACAAAGGCGUCGACGGGUAGCCGGCCUGAGAGGGUGUACGGCCACACUGGGACUGAGAUACGGCCCAGACUCCUACGGGAGGCAGCAGUGGGGAAUAUUGCACAAUGGGCGGAAGCCUGAUGCAGCGACGCCGCGUGAGGGAUGAAGGCCUUCGGGUUGUAAACUCCUUUCAGUAGGGAAGAAGCGAAAGUGACGGUACCUGUAUAAGAAGCACCGGCUAACUACGUG
RNAcentral lists this ribosomal RNA (468 nucleotides) under uncultured bacterium. RNAcentral's name for it is "partial 16S ribosomal RNA". It matches the Rfam family "Bacterial small subunit ribosomal RNA", at positions 28 to 507 of the family's 1533-position model. The record is from RNAcentral.